CCCGGACCCUCGAAGCCAGUUCCUUGCGUCAGUGCCGCGGCUCUUUAACCCGAAGGGAGAUUUUUUUUUUAAAGCCAGAGGCCGUUGACGCUGGGUAGCCUUUGGCUGGGGUUGGUUAUGAACUCCGACACAGCGGUGGUGCAUACGGAAGGGUGGUAGCCGGGACGGUUCCGGUCCCUGCGAGCGUGUCCCGGGCGUCUCCGCGGAAGUUUCACCUGCCGCGCCGCUCGAUCGCCGGGACCUCCUGGGUCUCUGCUGUGCGUAGACCAGCCGCGUUCCUUUGGGUGGCCGUGGAGCACUAAAGCGGGGCUUAUUGUUUGUUUGGUUUUGGUUUUUUUUUUUGUUUUUUUUUUGCUUUUUGUUUUUGAACUGAGGAUCUAUCAGAAAUAGGCUGAAAAGACCGAGUGAGGAAGAAACUCUUUAACAGCUAUUUUUGGCAUCUUAAGGUGAUUCUCAGGAGUUGCUACGUAUCAGAAUCAACGGAGGAGUUUUUCAAAGCAGAGAUGCCAGGGCCAGUCCCCAGACCUGAAUCAGGAAGUGAGGGAGAGAGCCGACGGAGGGGGAAAAGUCCCUUCAGCUGAUUCUUAUUUCACUUCUCAACUGGGUGUGGUGCCUUACACCUGUAAUACCAGCACUUUGGAGGAAAACAGGAGGAUCACUGGAGGCCAGUAGUUCAAGACCAGCCUGGGCGACAUAGCAAGACCCCCAUCUCUACAAAAAAAAUUUAUUAAUACAAAUUUUAAAAAUAAUGUAAAGUUUAGUUCUCAUCAUUCCAUGGUGUACCAAGUACACUUUGACUUCUAGGUACUCUGUUGUCUGAGUGAGAACUAUUAGUACCAAGAAAAGCAGGACAGAUAGCAGAGUUCUGAGUCUAAUUACUAUCUAUUGGCUUUUCUGUGUCUCUAAGGCCUUUCAGGGGCACGUUGUAAUUCUAGUAAUAAACACCACAUUUGAACAGCAGUUUACAGUUGACAAAGUGCUUUCACACACAUCUCUUAAUUUUUGCAACCAGUAAAAUAUAGCUCAACAAUAAAUAGACUUCCUUAUGUGAAUGUACUGUAAUGUAUUAUCUAUUCAUAGACAAUAAGGUUUUCAAUUUUUUACUAUUAUAAACAAUACUGUGAAAAGCAUUGUGAUGCAUAAUUAUUUGCAUAUCUAUAAUUAUUUCUUCUGAAUAUUCCUAAAAGAAUUGCUGAUUCAAAGAAUAUGCCCAUUGUAAAAGUUUUUAAUAUGUAAAUUUAAAGUAUUCCAUAUGGAUUAUUAAAUUGUUUUGAUGUAUUUUGCUACUAUAAAUAAAAAAGUGAAAUUAACAUGCAA
Molecule: long non-coding RNA, 1317 nt
Organism: Homo sapiens (human)
Lineage: Eukaryota; Metazoa; Chordata; Mammalia; Primates; Hominidae
Exons: 2
Source: RefSeq, a predicted model, not a curated record